UACGAAGGGUGCAAGCGUUAAUCGGAAUUACUGGGCGUAAAGCGCGCGUAGGCGGCCAUUUAAGCUAGAUGUGAAAGCCCCGGGCUUAACCUGGGAAUUGCAUUUAGAACUGGGUGGCUAGAGUAUGGGAGAGGAGUGUGGAAUUUCAGGUGUAGCGGUGAAAUGCGUAGAGAUCUGAAGGAACAUCAGUGGCGAAGGCGACACUCUGGCCCAAUACUGACGCUGAGGUGCGAAAGCGUGGGGAUCAAACAGG
Molecule: ribosomal RNA, 253 nt
Filed under: uncultured Alteromonadales bacterium
Lineage: Bacteria; Pseudomonadati; Pseudomonadota; Gammaproteobacteria; Alteromonadales
Description: partial 16S ribosomal RNA
Rfam family: Bacterial small subunit ribosomal RNA
Source: RNAcentral